GAAUGCAGUCGAGCGAACAGACGAGGAGCUUGCUCCUCUGACGUUAGCGGCGGACGGGUGAGUAACACGUGGAUAACCUACCUAUAAGACUGGGAUAACUUCGGGAAACCGGAGCUAAUACCGGAUAAUAUAUUGAACCGCAUGGUUCAAUAGUGAAAGACGGUUUUGCUGUCACUUAUAGAUGGAUCCGCGCCGCAUUAGCUAGUUGGUAAGGUAACGGCUUACCAAGGCAACGAUGCGUAGCCGACCUGAGAGGGUGAUCGGCCACACUGGAACUGAGACACGGUCCAGACUCCUACGGGAGGCAGCAGUAGGGAAUCUUCCGCAAUGGGCGAAAGCCUGACGGAGCAACGCCGCGUGAGUGAUGAAGGUCUUCGGAUCGUAAAACUCUGUUAUUAGGGAAGAACAAAUGUGUAAGUAACUAUGCACGUCUUGACGGUACCUAAUCAGAAAGCCACGGCUAACUACGUGCCAGCAGCCGCGGUAAUACGUAGGUGGCAAGCGUUAUCCGGAAUUAUUGGGCGUAAAGCGCGCGUAGGCGGUUUUUUAAGUCUGAUGUGAAAGCCCACGGCUCAACCGUGGAGGGUCAUUGGAAACUGGAAAACUUGAGUGCAGAAGAGGAAAGUGGAAUUCCAUGUGUAGCGGUGAAAUGCGCAGAGAUAUGGAGGAACACCAGUGGCGAAGGCGACUUUCUGGUCUGUAACUGACGCUGAUGUGCGAAAGCGUGGGGAUCAAACAGGAUUAGAUACCCUGGUAGUCCACGCCGUAAACGAUGAGUGCUAAGUGUUAGGGGGUUUCCGCCCCUUAGUGCUGCAGCUAACGCAUUAAGCACUCCGCCUGGGGAGUACGACCGCAAGGUUGAAACUCAAAGGAAUUGACGGGGACCCGCACAAGCGGUGGAGCAUGUGGUUUAAUUCGAAGCAACGCGAAGAACCUUACCAAAUCUUGACAUCCUCUGACCCCUCUAGAGAUAGAGUUUUCCCCUUCGGGGGACAGAGUGACAGGUGGUGCAUGGUUGUCGUCAGCUCGUGUCGUGAGAUGUUGGGUUAAGUCCCGCAACGAGCGCAACCCUUAAGCUUAGUUGCCAUCAUUAAGUUGGGCACUCUAAGUUGACUGCCGGUGACAAACCGGAGGAAGGUGGGGAUGACGUCAAAUCAUCAUGCCCCUUAUGAUUUGGGCUACACACGUGC
This 1190-nucleotide ribosomal RNA is filed under the name Staphylococcus sp. 65J. RNAcentral describes it as "bacterial SSU rRNA". It matches the Rfam family "Bacterial small subunit ribosomal RNA", at positions 53 to 1225 of the family's 1533-position model. The record is from RNAcentral. Lineage: Bacteria; Bacillati; Bacillota; Bacilli; Caryophanales; Staphylococcaceae.